GUGUGACAAAAAUAUUAUGAAAAGGGGGCGUGCGCUGAAGUUGUGUGUGAGAUAACUUUCUUGCCGCUUCUCUUAUCUCGACGUAUCUUAUCCCUUCCUUUUGAUAUGAAUGCCCAAGAUCAAAUGAGAUUAGAUCUAUUAGGAUGUUAGGGAGUGGUUGGGCAUUGAGAAUUUUAUUUUGUGUGAUAAAAUAAAAUAAGAGGGAGAGGGUGUGCGUGAGAUAUAAAAUCAAGUGCUCCCUUCUUGCCGUGUGAGUGGUUCUCAAUGCCUCUUCCUUCUUUCUUCAUCUCCAUGCUCAAAAAAAAUCUAAGGAGAUUAGAUCUAAAAGAGAGAAAAAGAGAGAGAGAAAGAGAAGAAGAAAGAUUCUUCUUCUCUUCUUGCUGGUCUGGUUCAGAUCCUGUCAGUUCUGUGUGAAGAAAUUCGUGCAGCCUUCAUCUUCUUCGAGAUCUAGAAGAAGAGACCAGAUCCAAGAUUGAGGAGUGAAACCUACAAGGUGUUAGCACACCGGUGGUCUCGGUGCUCUAAUUGGACAUCUUCAUAUGGAUACCAGCAGAUAUCGGAUACUUGUGUGGCUACAAUUCGAAUCCUGAACAUCUGCAGGAUUUGAAGGUAUGGAGAUUAGAUCUUCGAUUUUUUUUUACUAAUAAUUUAUUUUAUUUUCAGAUUUCAGAUCAUAGUAAUAUAUUCGUGUCAAGAUCCUAAAUAUGAUUUUUAGAUCUGAUCUGAUACAUAUAUUUAAAUUAAAAUUAUUUUAAUUUAUUUACUUUCACUAUG
This 774-nucleotide long non-coding RNA is filed under the name Elaeis guineensis (African oil palm). RNAcentral describes it as "long non-coding RNA (EGUI_LNC054816)". Lineage: Eukaryota; Viridiplantae; Streptophyta; Magnoliopsida; Arecales; Arecaceae. The record is from RNAcentral.